UCCCAGGCCACAGCCAAAUGGAACCAUCUGCACCAUGAAGCUGAAGAUAAAGCCGCAGAAAGAUUGCUGUAUUGUGAGUGGAGAAGAGCCCUGCUUCUCUUCACUGGCUGAUGUGCAGACAUUUAUUAGUAAAUCUUCACGGCGGUCUAGGGAGGCCUUUGACUGAGCGCUGUUCAUCGAGUCCAGCCCCGGCUUUGCAAAUAAACAGCUGACACCAAGAGAGGAGAAGCAACACGGCUGAGGCCACAGGGUGACAAAGCCUUAACAGCAAGAAGGGGAGAAGGCAGUCAUCUGGAAACGAGGAAGACAGCCCUCACCAGAAACUGACACUGUUGGACCUCGAUCUUGGACUUGCAGCCUCUAGAAUUGCAAGAAAAUAAAUUUAAGCUGUGGACUCUG
This 399-nucleotide long non-coding RNA is filed under the name Homo sapiens (human). RNAcentral describes it as "novel transcript". The record is from RNAcentral. Lineage: Eukaryota; Metazoa; Chordata; Mammalia; Primates; Hominidae.